UUUUUGACUGUACACCAUCUUAAACACAAACUCGUUGCUUGUGUGUCAGUCACACCCGCUCAGACUUCAGCUUCUACGAGGACCCACAGCAUCUGACAUCUUAAUCCGGCUUUGUGGCUCCAUUUUGGCCCGAAGGGAACAUUCCCGAGCCGAGGGGGAAUUAGGGAAAAGAUAAAGUGGCGACGAAGGAACGCAGUACUGUAUCUCCGUGGGUCAUCAGAACCGCACAUAACAGUGAGCAUCAGUCGAGUCCAUCGAUCUGUCUGCCUGCCAUUGUGUGUGUGCCUCGGACCAUUAAACCUGCCUCGGCAAAAGGCCGACGCGCAUGCACGGAACCAAGUUGAUGGAGAGAUGACAGAGUGGAGUUGCUGCCCUUAAUUAUGAGCGGGAUCGAAAAGAACUUUACCUGCUGUCUCUUUCGGCAGCUCCACCUUCGAUGACGGUCUUCACGAAGAUGCCCAGUUUCUCCAGGCCUGCAUCGGCGCCAACACCCAUCCCGAUGAUGCUGAUCCCCAAGCCGUCGUCAUCUGAAUGCAGCUCCACGGGGAAAAGUUCGAGCUUCUCGACCCGCUUCUCCAGCUCGUACUCUGCGGACGAGGCCACGGGAUCCACUUCCUCGUUGCGGCGGUCGUAGUCCUCGUUGGAUUGUACCUGUGACCACCCACCCUCGCGCCACACAAAAGCCGCGGCCGCCGGAAGGAUGAUGAGGCAAAGGAACGGAUGUCUCGCGGGGAUUGGGAGUGACCUUGACAGGCGUAAAGGAGAUGAGAAAAAGAAGCCAGCCAGUCUUCCUUAUGUAAAA
Molecule: long non-coding RNA, 802 nt
Organism: Hippocampus zosterae (dwarf seahorse)
Lineage: Eukaryota; Metazoa; Chordata; Actinopteri; Syngnathiformes; Syngnathidae
Exons: 4
Source: RefSeq, a predicted model, not a curated record